Molecule: non-coding RNA, 72 nt
Organism: Podarcis lilfordi (Lilford's wall lizard)
Lineage: Eukaryota; Metazoa; Chordata; Lepidosauria; Squamata; Lacertidae
Source: the annotation of a GenBank genome assembly
GGGGAAGUAGCUCAGUGGUAGAGCAUCUGCUUUGCAUGAAGAAGGUCCUAUGUUCCAUCUUCAGCAUCUCCA